UGAAAGCUCGUUUAUUCACCAUAUGAUGCUCGUUAUGAGGUAAUCAUAUAGGCUAGAUACCGUGAGUUAACGAGGUCGUUUACAUGCACGUGAGUGCACGGAUAUCGGUUAAUUAUUCAAAUUACUAAAAAACACGGAGAAAACCGCAACCGCAUGGUCAUGUGUUUUUCUAAGAUGUAUGCAAACAGGGGAAAUAUCGCCAAACCAACAAUUAAUUUUACCAAAACCUCACAAUAUAUCAUCAUUUGUAUGCACACAUUGCAGGAUUGGAUGCAUUGUGUGUUGUAAGCUUUUCGUGGCGCUAGAUGUCAGACAGAUGCAAAUGGCAAAUACAUACGAAUGUGUAAAACGUGUAUGGCAAACAUUUGCUUUUCUGUCAUUAUAGAUGCUAGUUUGGUGAAAGUACACACUGAGUGCUUCACAUCAUUUAAAAGAGAUGCUGUUUUUAGGGCAGUUUAUUAAAGAAGACCUGACAUGGAUAUGACUCCCAAUGAGAAACGACUGCUAAUACUUAUAAAUUCAUUACAGAAGGACCCUACCAGACUAUAUUUGAAUACGGCAUACCCGUGAAUUCUGGAACUGUUAUUCCUUAACCCAGUUUGGAGGAUAAGAGCUUACCAACUAGUUAUAAAUAUGCUGAGGUGAUGUAUUGCAAUACAACAAUUAAAGGAUAAUUGCAGACUACAUCCUGAUGAAGAUAUGGAUGACCCUCUGUCUGGUCAACAGGGGUUUAAAUAUGGAUGGGACAGUUAUGUGGCAGCUCUUCCCUGGCUCAUUCACCUCUUGCCUUCAUUUGUGAAAGGAAGAAAGACUGGAGAGGGUCAAUGUGCAACUGAAGCUACUGACUGUGCUGUGUAAGUUUUUUGGUAUUUUGUUCUAGUUAUUUAUUCAGCAGUUAGUUUGCUUGCAUUGUUCACCCCAUGUAAAUGCAUACAAGUUCAUAAAUACACAUCAAAUACACUCUUUUAAAACACUCUUAGGUGAUGAGCAUCAAUCCAUGCUUUGAGGUGGAUGGAUCAGCACAGCCCU
Misgurnus anguillicaudatus (oriental weatherfish) is the source of this 1029-nucleotide non-coding RNA. The record is from RefSeq and is a predicted model, not a curated record. Lineage: Eukaryota; Metazoa; Chordata; Actinopteri; Cypriniformes; Cobitidae.